Molecule: ribosomal RNA, 484 nt
Filed under: uncultured bacterium
Lineage: Bacteria
Description: partial 16S ribosomal RNA
Rfam family: Bacterial small subunit ribosomal RNA
Source: RNAcentral
AUUGAACGCUGGCGGCAGGCCUAACACAUGCAAGUCGAGCGGAUGAAGGGAGCUUGCUCCUGGAUUCAGCGGCGGACGGGUGAGUAAUGCCUAGGAAUCUGCCUGGUAGUGGGGGAUAACGUCCGGAAACGGGCGCUAAUACCGCAGACGUCCUGAGGGAGAAAGUGGGGGAUCUUCGGACCUCACGCUAUCAGAUGAGCCUAGGUCGGAUUAGCUAGUUGGUGGGGUAAAGGCCUACCAAGGCGACGAUCGGUAACUGGUCUGAGAGGAUGAUCAGUCACACUGGAACUGAGACACGGUCCAGACUCCUACGGGAGGCAGCAGUGGGGAAUAUUGGACAAUGGGCGAAAGCCUGAUACAGCCAUGCCGCGUGUGUGAAGAAGGUCUUCGGAUUGUAAAGCACUUUAAGUUGGGAGGAAGGGCAGUAAGUUAAUACCUUGCUGUUUUGACGUUACCAACAGAAUAAGCACCGGCUAACUUCGUG